GAUGAACGCUGGCGGCGUGCCUAAUACAUGCCAGUCGAGCGAACAGAUGAGGAGCUUGCUCCUCUGACGUUAGCGGCGGACGGGUGAGUAACACGUGGAUAACCUACCUAUAAGACUGGGAUAACUUCGGGAAACCGGAGCUAAUACCGGAUAAUAUAUUGAACCGCAUGGUUCAAUAGUGAAAGACGGUUUUGCUGUCACUUAUAGAUGGAUCCGCGCCGCAUUAGCUAGUUGGUAAGGUAACGGCUUACCAAGGCAACGAUGCGUAGCCGACCUGAGAGGGUGAUCAGCCACACUGGAACUGAGACACGGUCCAGACUCCUACGGGAGGCAGCAGUAGGGAAUCUUCCGCAAUGGGCGAAAGCCUGACGGAGCAACGCCGCGUGAGUGAUGAAGGUCUUCGGAUCGUAAAGCUCUGUUAUUAGGGAAGAACAAAUGUGUAAGUAACUAUGCACGUCUUGACGGUACCUAAUCAGAAAGCCACGGCUAACUACGUG
Molecule: ribosomal RNA, 497 nt
Filed under: uncultured bacterium
Lineage: Bacteria
Description: partial 16S ribosomal RNA
Rfam family: Bacterial small subunit ribosomal RNA
Source: RNAcentral